Molecule: ribosomal RNA, 274 nt
Filed under: uncultured bacterium
Lineage: Bacteria
Description: partial 16S ribosomal RNA
Rfam family: Bacterial small subunit ribosomal RNA
Source: RNAcentral
AUACAGAGGGUGCAAGCGUUAAUCGGAAUUACUGGGCGUAAAGCGCGCGUAGGCGGCUUGAUUAGUCGGAUGUGAAAGCCCCGGGCUCAACCUGGGAAUUGCAUUCGAUACUGUCAGGCUAGAGUAUGGUAGAGGGUAGUAGAAUUCCUGGUGUAGCGGUGAAAUGCGUAGAUAUCAGGAGGAAUACCAGUGGCGAAGGCGGCUACCUGGACCAAUACUGUCGCUGAGGUGCGAAAGCGUGGGGAGCAAACAGGAUUAGAAACCCUAGUAGUCC